Molecule: ribosomal RNA, 622 nt
Filed under: uncultured bacterium
Lineage: Bacteria
Description: bacterial SSU rRNA
Rfam family: Bacterial small subunit ribosomal RNA (bases 1-540)
Source: RNAcentral
CCUACGGGAGGCAGCAGUGGGGAAUUUUGGACAAUGGGCGCAAGCCUGAUCCAGCCAUGCCGCGUGCAGGAUGAAGGCCUUCGGGUUGUAAACUGCUUUUGUACGGAACGAAAAGACUCUGGUUAAUACCUGGGGUCCAUGACGGUACCGUAAGAAUAAGCACCGGCUAACUACGUGCCAGCAGCCGCGGUAAUACGUAGGGCGCGAGCGUUAAUCGGAAUUACUGGGCGUAAAGCGUGCGCAGGCGGUUAUAUAAGACAGAUGUGAAAUCCCCGGGCUCAACCUGGGAACUGCAUUUGUGACUGUAUAGCUAGAGUACGGCAGAGGGGGAUGGAAUUCCGCGUGUAGCAGUGAAAUGCGUAGAUAUGCGGAGGAACACCGAUGGCGAAGGCAAUCCCCUGGGCCUGUACUGACGCUCAUGCACGAAAGCGUGGGGAGCAAACAGGAUUAGAUACCCUGGUAGUCCACGCCCUAAACGAUGUACACUGGUUGUUGGUCUUCACUGACUCAGUAACGAAGCUAACGCGUGAGUUGACCGCGUGGGGAGGUACGGCCGCGAGUAGAACGUACGAAGAGUAGUAGCGAGAGAGACGACGACGGACGACGACGACGGAGGGAGGAG